AUUAUUUUUUGAUUUGAAUAUAUCGCUUGUAGAGGUAGGUCGUCCUGGAGAAAUCUUAGUGCAGCCUCGUCGCCGCGAGACCACGUGACUCACGCAACGCGUUCUUCUAUCUACUCGCUAUCCGGUGGACAUCGGCGGACGGAUCUCGCCCGCCGUGUAUCCGUGUGUCGGCUCUCCGCACGCCGCCGAGACGCGAUGAAGAAUCGACGCGACGAUAGACGGAAACGCGAAUUGGAGCUUCUGCAAACACCAUGAGGACGGUUUUGCGAGACGCGCGACGAACCGCGCAAACAUAAUUCUCAUUAACCUCAUUGCGAUGUAACAGAAUAAAUUAAAAAAAAAAACAAGAAAUUUGAAAGUCUAAAUUUCCAAUUUAAUGUGGAAUAAGAUGCAAGAUUAAUGCGACGACAACUCGACGAAGCCUUUACUCUUUCAGGGAGCAUGCGAACAAUAGAACGUCGCUCUCGCUUAAGGGGGGAGCCUGCUUUAGAACGCUGAAAAUAAGGUAUAUUUUACGAAUUGUUUUUGGAGAAACUAUACAGCGGAUCAUUAUAAAACUUUGAUGCAUUUAUUAGUACAUGUUUAAAGAUAAAAAAAAUUAUUUUUUUAUUUGAAUAUAUCGCUUGUAGAGGUAGGUCGUCCUGGAGAAAUCUUAGUGCAGCCUCGUCGCCGCGAGACCACGUGACUCACGCAACGCGUUCUUCUAUCUACUCGCUAUCCGGUGGACAUCGGCGGACGGAUCUCGCCCGCCGUGUAUCCGUGUGUCGGCUCUCCGCACGCCGCCGAGACGCGAUGAAGAAUCGACGCGACGAUAGACGGAAACGCGAAUUGGAGCUUCUGCAAACACCAUGAGGACGGUUUUGCGAGACGCGCGACGAACCGCGCAAACAUAAUUCUCAUUAACCUCAUUGCGAUGUAACAGAAUAAAUUAAAAAAAAAAACAAGAAAUUUGAAAGUCUAAAUUUCCAAUUUAAUGUGGAAUAAGAUGCAAGAUUAAUGCGACGACAACUCGACGAAGCCUUUACUCUUUCAGGGAGCAUGCGAACAAUAGAACGUCGCUCUCGCUUAAGGGGGGAGCCUGCUUUAGAACGCUGAAAAUAAGAGGUAGGUCGUCCUGGAGAAAUCUUAGUGCAGCCUCGUCGCCGCGAGACCACGUGACUCACGCAACGCGUUCUUCUAUCUACUCGCUAUCCGGUGGACAUCGGCGGACGGAUCUCGCCCGCCGUGUAUCCGUGUGUCGGCUCUCCGCACGCCGCCGAGACGCGAUGAAGAAUCGACGCGACGAUAGACGGAAACGCGAAUUGGAGCUUCUGCAAACACCAUGAGGACGGUUUUGCGAGAGACGCGCGACGAACCGCGCAAACAUAAUUCUCAUUAACCUCAUUGCGAUGUAACAGAAUAAAUUAAAAAAAAAAACAAGAAAUUUGAAAGUCUAAAUUUCCAAUUUAAUGUGGAAUAAGAUGCAAGAUUAAUGCGACGACAACUCGACGAAGCCUUUACUCUUUCAGGGAGCAUGCGAACAAUAGAACGUCGCUCUCGCUUAAGGGGGGAGCCUGCUUUAGAACGCUGAAAAUAAGAGGUAGGUCGUCCUGGAGAAAUCUUAGUGCAGC
This 1610-nucleotide long non-coding RNA is filed under the name Ooceraea biroi (clonal raider ant). RNAcentral's name for it is "uncharacterized LOC113562944". Lineage: Eukaryota; Metazoa; Arthropoda; Insecta; Hymenoptera; Formicidae. The record is from RNAcentral.